RNAcentral lists this ribosomal RNA (408 nucleotides) under uncultured bacterium. RNAcentral describes it as "partial 16S ribosomal RNA". It matches the Rfam family "Bacterial small subunit ribosomal RNA", at positions 28 to 526 of the family's 1533-position model. The record is from RNAcentral.
GACGAACGCUGGCGGCGUGCUUAACACAUGCAAGUCGAACGAAGUGGCGAACGGGUGAGUAACGCGUAAUCAACCUGCACUUCAGUGGGGGACAACAGUUGGAAACGGCUGCUAAUACCGCAUACUGAAGGACGGGAUUGUGUUGGAUUAGCUAGUUGGUGGGGUAACGGCCCACCAAGGCGAUGAUCAGUAGCCGGUCUGAGAGGAUGAACGGCCACAUUGGGACGGAGACACGGCCCAGACUCCUACGGGAGGCAGCAGUAGGGAAUCUUCCGCAAUGGACGAAAGUCUGACGGAGCAACGCCGCGUGAGUGAUGACGGCCUUCGGGUUGUAAAGCUCUGUUAAUCGGGACGCGGUACCGGAAUAGAAAGCCACGGCUAACUACGUGCCAGCCGCCGCGGUAAUUC